RNAcentral lists this ribosomal RNA (430 nucleotides) under uncultured bacterium. RNAcentral describes it as "partial 16S ribosomal RNA". It matches the Rfam family "Bacterial small subunit ribosomal RNA", at positions 354 to 796 of the family's 1533-position model. The record is from RNAcentral.
GUGGGGAAUAUUGCACAAUGGGCGCAAGCCUGAUGCAGCAACGCCGCGUGAGGGACGACGGCCUUCGGGUUGUAAACCUCUUUUAGCAGGGAAGAAGCGAAAGUGACGGUACCUGCAGAAAAAGCACCGGCUAACUACGUGCCAGCAGCCGCGGUAAUACGUAGGGUGCAAGCGUUGUCCGGAAUUAUUGGGCGUAAAGAGCUCGUAGGCGGUUUGUCGCGUCUGCUGUGAAAACCCGAGGCUCAACCUCGGGCCUGCAGUGGGUACGGGCAGACUAGAGUGCGGUAGGGGAGAUUGGAAUUCCUGGGGUAGCGGUGGAAUGCGCAGAUAUCAGGAGGAACACCGAUGGCGAAGGCAGAUCUCUGGGCCGUAACUGACGCUGAGGAGCGAAAGCGUGGGGAGCGAACAGGAUUAGAUACCCGAGUAGUCC